GUCUGUGAUGAAAACUGUGAAUAGGAAGUGCCGUCCGAUGCGACAACUGACGAUGUUACUCAAUCACUGUUC
Small nucleolar RNA from Platichthys flesus (European flounder), 72 nucleotides. RefSeq annotates it as small nucleolar RNA SNORD49. The transcript has a single exon. Lineage: Eukaryota; Metazoa; Chordata; Actinopteri; Pleuronectiformes; Pleuronectidae. The record is from RefSeq and is a predicted model, not a curated record.